UACGGAAGGUCCAAGCUGUUAAUGCGGAAUUACUGAUGCGUAAAGCGCGCGUAGGUGGAUUAUUAAGUUGGGAGUGAAAGCCCCGGGCUCAACCUGGGAACUGCAUCCAAAACUGAUUCACUAGAGUACGAAAGAGGGAGGUAGAAUUCACAGUGUAGCGGUGGAAUGCGUAGAUAUUGUGAAGAAUAUCAAUGGCGAAGGCAGCCUCCUGGUUCUGUACUGACACUGAGGUGCGAAAGCGUGGGUAGCGAACAGGAUUAGAUACCCUGGUAGUCCACGCCGUAAACGAUGACAACUAGCUGUUGGGAAGCAAUGCUUUUCAGUGGCGCAGCUAACGUAUUAAGUUGUCCGCCUGGGGAGUACGGCCGCAAGGUUAAAACUCAAAUGAAUUGACGGGGACCCGCACAAGCGGUGGAGCAUGUGGUUUAAUUCGAUGCAACGCGAAAAACCUUACCUACUCUUGACAUCCUUGGAAUCUCUUGUAAUGAGGGAGUGCCUUUUGGAACCAAGUGACAGGUGCUGCAUGGCUGUCGUCAGCUCGUGUCGUGAGAUGUUCCGUUAAGUCGGAUAACGAGCGCAACCCUUACCCUUAUUUGCCAGCGGUUCGGCCGGGAACUAUAAGGGGACUGCCGGUGAUAAACCGGAGGAAGGUGAGGAUGACGUCAAGUCAUCAUGGCCCUUACGAGUAGGGCUACACACGUGCUACAAUGGGAAGUACAGAGGGACGCCAAAGCGUGAGCUGGAGCUAAUCUCAUAAAACUUUUCGUAGUCCGGAUUGCAGUCUGCAACUCGACUGCAUGAAGUCGGAAUCGCUAGUAAUCGCGGAUCAGCACGCCGCGGUGAAUACGUUCUCGGGUCU
This 859-nucleotide ribosomal RNA is filed under the name uncultured bacterium. Its description in RNAcentral is "SSU rRNA". It matches the Rfam family "Bacterial small subunit ribosomal RNA", at positions 524 to 1381 of the family's 1533-position model. The record is from RNAcentral.